Molecule: unclassified non-coding RNA, 214 nt
Filed under: Hevea brasiliensis (rubber tree)
Lineage: Eukaryota; Viridiplantae; Streptophyta; Magnoliopsida; Malpighiales; Euphorbiaceae
Source: RNAcentral
CUUAAGUCAGCACAAGGACAAAAUUAUUGUAAGCCAUAUCAUUCUCUUUGUUUUAAACUUUUUAGGUGUUAUGGUGUAUGUGGCAUUAAAUAUGAGCAUUUAUAUGUAGGAUAUCAUCGAAAAGGCAGAGAAACAACCAAACCUCACAAUUGGUGUCCUCAUAUCCAUUGUCGUGGUGAUAUUACCUGUUCUCCUUAAGCUUAUUUUUGGUGGG